CGGCACGGGUGAGUAACACGUAUGGAACCUGCCCUAUGCAGGGGGAUAAGCGGAAGAAAUUCCGUCUAAUACCGCAUAACACCAUUUGGAGACAUCUCCAGGUGGUCAAAGGAGGCGACUCCGGCAUAGGAUGGCCAUGCGUCGCAUUAGCUAGUCGGUGGGGUAACGGCCCACCGAGGCGACGAUGCGUAGGGGUUCUGAGAGGAAGGUCCCCCACACUGGUACUGAGACACGGACCAGACUCCUACGGAAGGCAGCAG
Molecule: ribosomal RNA, 260 nt
Filed under: uncultured bacterium
Lineage: Bacteria
Description: partial 16S ribosomal RNA
Rfam family: Bacterial small subunit ribosomal RNA
Source: RNAcentral